This 434-nucleotide ribosomal RNA is filed under the name uncultured beta proteobacterium. Its description in RNAcentral is "bacterial SSU rRNA". It matches the Rfam family "Bacterial small subunit ribosomal RNA", at positions 202 to 628 of the family's 1533-position model. The record is from RNAcentral. Lineage: Bacteria; Pseudomonadati; Pseudomonadota; Betaproteobacteria.
AUCGCAAGACCUUGCGCUUUUGGAGCGGCCGAUGUCUGAUUAGCUAGUUGGUGAGGUAAAGGCUUACCAAGGCUUCGAUCAGUAGCUGGUCUGAGAGGACGACCAGCCACACUGGGACUGAGACACGGCCCAGGCUCCUACGGGAGGCAGCAGUGGGGAAUUUUGGACAAUGGGGGCAACCCUGAUCCAGCCAUGCCGCGUGAGUGAAGAAGGCCUUCGGGUUGUAAAGCUCUUUCAGCCGGAACGAAAAGGUUACGGUUAAUACCCGUGACUAAUGACGGUACCGGAAGAAGAAGCACCGGCUAACUACGUGCCAGCAGCCGCGGUAAUACGUAGGGUGCGAGCGUUAAUCGGAAUUACUGGGCGUAAAGCGUGCGCAGGCGGUUUUGUAAGUCAGAUGUGAAAUCCCCGGGCUUAACCUGGGAACUGCGUUU